CCUACGGGAGGCAGCAGUGGGGAAUAUUGCACAAUGGGCGCAAGCCUGAUGCAGCCAUGCCGCGUGUAUGAAGAAGGCCUUCGGGUUGUAAAGUACUUUCAGCGGGAGGAAGGGAGUAAAGUUAAUACCUUUGCUCAUUGACGUUACCCGCAGAAGAAGCACCGGCUAACUCCGUGCCAGCAGCCGCGGUAAUACGGAGGGUGCAAGCGUUAAUCGGAAUUACUGGGCGUAAAGCGCACGCAGGCGGUUUGUUAAGUCAGAUGUGAAAUCCCCGGGCUCAACCUGGGAACUGCAUCUGAUACUGGCAAGCUUGAGUCUCGUAGAGGGGGGUAGAAUUCCAGGUGUAGCGGUGAAAUGCGUAGAGAUCUGGAGGAAUACCGGUGGCGAAGGCGGCCCCCUGGACGAAGACUGACGCUCAGGUGCGAAAGCGUGGGGAGCAAACAGGAUUAGGAUACCCUGGUAGUCCACGCCGUAAACGAUGUCGACUUGGAGGUUGUGCCCUUGAGGCGUGGCUUCCGGAGCUAACGCGUUAAGUCGACCGCCUGGGGAUACGGCCGCAAGGUUUAAAACCNAAAUGAAUUGACGGNNGAGAGNGCGAGACGACGACGAGGAGGAGG
Molecule: ribosomal RNA, 617 nt
Filed under: uncultured bacterium
Lineage: Bacteria
Description: bacterial SSU rRNA
Rfam family: Bacterial small subunit ribosomal RNA
Source: RNAcentral